Molecule: long non-coding RNA, 427 nt
Filed under: Oryza brachyantha (malo sina)
Lineage: Eukaryota; Viridiplantae; Streptophyta; Magnoliopsida; Poales; Poaceae
Description: long non-coding RNA (OBRA_LNC001285)
Source: RNAcentral
UAUGCAGCUAAAUCGAUAGGAAUAGGAUUCUCAAAGGAAAGGGCGGGUGGACAUACGUUGCGGGUGUCCAGUUGGCAUGGGUCUGGGUUCGGGUCAUCAACUCGAACGGUCAAUGCUGGCCUGAUAUCAGCAUCGUUAUACGUCACAAGUUGGGGAGGCUCUAACUAUUAGAGGAUCUAGUUCAUCAACUAAUGAUUCAAGAUGGAAGUCCUUUGCGGAUUUACCCAGGAAGAAUAUACUCUUCAACUGCCCAAGGAAACUUGUGAAAGAACUUCUCUCCAUGAGCUUUUGAUAAAGUAAAAGACUUUUACAGUAGGUUUAACUGUAUCUUGGAUCUUAGAAUCUGAUUCGUAACUUUGGAUAAAUCGAUCCCAGAAAUCAUAGAGUUUAUCCAUCAGAUCAUGAGAUAUCUAUACUUUCCCUUCUU